This 316-nucleotide ribosomal RNA is filed under the name Gigaspora margarita. RNAcentral's name for it is "eukaryotic LSU rRNA". The record is from RNAcentral. Lineage: Eukaryota; Fungi; Glomeromycota; Glomeromycetes; Diversisporales; Gigasporaceae.
UUUUGAAAGGGAAACGAUUGAAGUCAGUCAUGCCGGCUGGGAAUCAACUUAGGGGAAACUCUGGGUGCACUUCUUCGCUUGGCAGGUCAACGUCGAUUUUGAAUGUCAUAAAAUAAUUGGGGGAAGGUAGCUCCUUCGGGAGUGUUAUAGCCCUUGAUAGAUGUGAUGUUUGGGGUCGAGGAUUGCAACGGAUACCCUUCGGGGCUAGCCGCCUGAUCUCUAAUUGGUGUUGGGUUACGGAUAGCAUGCUGACCGUGAUCUAAUUACUGGUUAAAAGGUUAGAGUGUGCAUAAAUUCGUUAAGGAUGUUGACGUAA